CUACGGGGGGCAGCAGUGGGGAAUAUUGGACAAUGGGCGCAAGCCUGAUCCAGCCAUGCCGCGUGAGUGACGAAGGCCUUAGGGUUGUAAAGCUCUUUUGGCGGGGACGAUAAUGACGGUACCCGCAGAAUAAGCUCCGGCUAACUUCGUGCCAGCAGCCGCGGUAAUACGAAGGGAGCUAGCGUUGUUCGGAAUCACUGGGCGUAAAGCGCACGUAGGCGGAUUUGUUAGUCAGGGGUGAAAUCCCGGGGCUCAACCUCGGAACUGCCUUUGAUACUGCAAAUCUCGAGUCCGGAAGAGGUGGGUGGAAUUCCUAGUGUAGAGGUGAAAUUCGUAGAUAUUAGGAAGAACACCGGUGGCGAAGGCGGCCCACUGGUCCGGUACUGACGCUGAGGUGCGAAAGCGUGGGGAGCAAACAGGAUUAGAUACCCCCGUAGUC
RNAcentral lists this ribosomal RNA (439 nucleotides) under uncultured bacterium. Its description in RNAcentral is "partial 16S ribosomal RNA". It matches the Rfam family "Bacterial small subunit ribosomal RNA", at positions 339 to 795 of the family's 1533-position model. The record is from RNAcentral.